AGAGAGAGAGGGAGGGGGAGGGAGAGAGAAGCGGGAGGGAGAGGGGGAGGGGAAGGAGAAGAGACUGGAGCCUUCACUUCUCCCUGCUUCCUGCCUGUGGGCACCAUGUGAACAGAUACUUCUACUCCUGUUGCCUUCUCCCUCCGUGAUGGACGACAGCCUCACACCAUGAGCCAAUAGCAGCCCUUUCUUCCUUAAAUUGCUUUGUGAAGUAUUUGCCACAACAUCAAGGAAAGCGGUUAAGAUGGCACUUUAUCAAGAAAGCUGAAUUUUCUACAUCCUUAUGGGAAAUCUAAAUCUGGGCACAGGAGGAAACAGCAAGAGCAUGAGGGAACAGCUAGGCUCUGAAGUACAUUCCUCUUCAUGGACCCUGUUACCUAUUCUGGAAAGGCACUGGCCAGAGACAGGACCAUUGGCUAGAACUGGACUGCACAGGAUCUGUCCCAGGUUUAAGGGAAGAAGAUGGACAUGAGCGGAGUGGAAGAAGAAAAAUAACCAAGCAAACAAAGCAUCGCAAGCUACUUCUGUGCAAGGAGAUUUUAAGAACAAGUCAUGGCAUUACAAAUGCAAAGGAACGACUUUGGAACCACAGGACUCUGUCAGCUGUCCUGGAACUCUGCACUGGAUGUACAAUUAACAUGUAAAACACACACCACAGCUUUCCUCCCUGACUGACAGCAGAAUUUUCUUCAGCUCAGAAAAAUAAGAUCUGCUGUUUCUUGGCCACUGUGAGGCACUAUCACUGACCACAGGGGCAUGCUGGCUGUCAUGGCGAAGGCAUCUGUCUGCUCAGUGUUUCCUCUCUGUGCCUCUCAAACAAACGUCUGCCUGGCAGCUGACUGUGGUGUGCUCUCCACGGUGUGCCCCACAGGCUGCUGGUACCGACUGAGAAUAUUCUAUGGGGGGGGUGGUGUCUGAGGAUAUGCUGGUGUGUCAGGAAGAAAUCACAGGACAUUUGGAAACCUAAUAAUAAAUCUGAAAAGGCAAAAACUUUGAACAGUAAAACAAAUAAAACUUGGGGUUUAUUUU
Molecule: long non-coding RNA, 1029 nt
Organism: Mastomys coucha (southern multimammate mouse)
Lineage: Eukaryota; Metazoa; Chordata; Mammalia; Rodentia; Muridae
Exons: 5
Source: RefSeq, a predicted model, not a curated record